RNAcentral lists this long non-coding RNA (204 nucleotides) under Lathyrus oleraceus (garden pea). RNAcentral describes it as "Pisum sativum (pea) long non-coding RNA (PSAT_LNC026242)". Lineage: Eukaryota; Viridiplantae; Streptophyta; Magnoliopsida; Fabales; Fabaceae. The record is from RNAcentral.
ACAGACAACAUACCCUGGUUAAUUACAUGAUAAUUAGUCAUGCAUAAAUCUUGCAACCCAGAUAGUUCCAUAACAUCAUGAAACCAUAUCUCUUUAGGCAACAUGGUUGAUGCAUUUUAAAGUCUCACGAUAUAGUAAAAAAAUACAACAUCCUCUGAAAGUUCAAAUAUUGUAACACAUACGUUUGAAAGAAUAAAUACAAAU